AGUUUCCUACGGGGCGCAGCAGUGAGGAAUAUUGGUCAAUGGGCGUAAGCCUGAACCAGCCAAGUCGCGUGAGGGAUGAAGGUUCUAUGGAUCGUAGACCUCUUUUAUAAGGGAAUAAAGUGUGGGACGUGUCCUAUUUUGUAUGUACCUUAUGAAUAAGGAUCGGCUAACUCCGUGCCCGCAGCCGCGGUAAUACGGAGGAUCCGAGCGUUAUCCGGAUUUAUUGGGUUUAAAGGGUGCGUAGGCGGCCUUUUAAGUCAGCGGUGAAAGUCUG
RNAcentral lists this ribosomal RNA (274 nucleotides) under uncultured bacterium. Its description in RNAcentral is "partial 16S ribosomal RNA". It matches the Rfam family "Bacterial small subunit ribosomal RNA", at positions 333 to 604 of the family's 1533-position model. The record is from RNAcentral.